Molecule: long non-coding RNA, 792 nt
Organism: Oncorhynchus keta (chum salmon)
Lineage: Eukaryota; Metazoa; Chordata; Actinopteri; Salmoniformes; Salmonidae
Exons: 3
Source: RefSeq, a predicted model, not a curated record
UUGGGGUUUGAACCCAGGAUGUGUUACAGGUUGUAUCCUAGACAGUUUGGGGUUUGAACCCAGGAUGUGUUACAGGUUGUAUCCUAGACAGUUUGGGGUUUGAACCCAGGAUGUGUUACAGGUUGUAUCCUAGACAGUUUGGGGUCCGAUCCCAGGAUGUGUUACAGGUUGUAUCCUAGACAGUUUGGGGUCCGAUCCCAGGAUGUGUUACAGGUUGUAUCCUAGAUAUUUGGGGUUUGAACCCAGGAUGUGUUACAGGUUGUAUCCUAGACAGUUUGGGGUUUGAACCCAGGAUGUGUUACAGGUUGUAUCCUAGACAGUUUGGGGUUUGAACCCAGGAUGUGUUACAGGUUGUAUCCUAGACAGUUUGGGGUUUGAACCCAGGAUGUGUGACAGGUUGUAUCCUAGACAGUUUGGGGUUUGAACCCAGGAUGUGUUACAGGUUGUAUCCUAGACAGUUUGGGGUUUGAACCCAGGAUGUGUUACAGGUUGUAUCCUAGACAGUUUGGGGUUUGAACCCAGGAUGUGUUACAGGUUGUAUCCUAGACAGUUUGGGGUUUGAACCCAGGAUGUGUUACAGGUUGUAUCCUAGACAGUUUGGGGUUCGAACCCAGGAUGUGUUACAGGUUGUAUCCUAGACAGUUUGGGGUUCGAACCCAGGAUGUGUUACAGGUUGUAUCCUAGACAGUUUGGGGUUCGAACCCAGGAUGUGUUACAGGUUGUAUCCUAGACAGUUUGGGGUUUGAACCCAGGAUGUGUUACAGGUUGUAUCCUAGACAGUUUGGGGUUUGA